GGAAGGCGAGUGCCGGAGGGGGCGGGACAGCUCCUCCGGGGCCAGCGGGCACCAGGCUUGGGGGCUGAGGCCCAGCGGCCCGAGACCAACUGGGCUGACCGAGGCCGCCUCCCCGCCAGCCCUGGGGUCCACUGCCCGGGGAGCAGCUCCCUUCCCAGGUCAGACUCGGGCUUCAUCCUCUCUUGCCGCGCGCCGAGCGGUUUUCAACUCUCACUGCUAGAAUUCCUCCAACCACCCAGGAUAGCAGGACCGAGAUACAUGGCCACCCAUGACCCGGAGCGUCCACUUCCAGGGACAGGCAGUGGUGAUUGGCUUCGGUUGUCAUCUGUGCCAUCUGUCCAUGGUUCGAGAAGCUGCUGUUCACGUUUUGGGGAGGAUCAUGGUUUGAGGGCUCCCGUGGUAGAAUUUGGGGAGCUCUCAUAGGCAGAAGGCUGAGAAAAGUUGGUGCUGUGGGAAGUCAACUGGCAGCCGAUGGAGUCGGGACCCGGGAGGAAUGGAAAGGGAACCCAGAUAGGAAGCUACUGCAGUAGGCUCAGAGAGGUGAUGACGGCAGGGCUAAGACAGCGGCCUUGGGCGGUGACUGGGAAGAACGUUGAACACCGUGUUUGGGCUGAAGAAAAGAGCAAGGGAAGAGUUACAGGGCUUUGACUCCUGAGUCUGAAAAAGGCACAGAUUCCUGCUAAAUCUUGAACACUGACGCCAGUCAAAGCCUCAUCUUCAGACCUGGGAGAAGGUGACAAUCGAAAUGAAAUGCUUUCAUGAGACGCAGGGCCAGUAAUUACAAGUAUUCAAUCCCCCUAGGCCCAGGGACUAUCGCGGAAGAGGUGGGCGUGUGAGAUUGUAAGGGCCAACUUUGAGGGAUAAAAUUAGAGUUUUUUUGUAAACAUUAAUAUCAAAGGCACACUGAGGCCAGGCAAGCGUCUGGCCCCUGUGUCGGAAUAACAAUUUUCCUGGACCACUGAUCUACUCUUUAAUAGAAGAUUGUAAAAGGUUAUACAAGGCGUAUGGAAAUCUUACUUCGUGGUCAA
RNAcentral lists this long non-coding RNA (1028 nucleotides) under Homo sapiens (human). Its description in RNAcentral is "non-protein coding LINC02175:21". The record is from RNAcentral. Lineage: Eukaryota; Metazoa; Chordata; Mammalia; Primates; Hominidae.